GAUGAAGAACGCAGCGAAAUGCGAUACGUAAUGUGAAUUGCAGAUUUCAGUGAAUCAUCGAAUCUUUGAACGCACAUUGCGCCCGCUAGUAUUCUGGCGGGCAUGCCUGUUCGAGCGUCAUUUCAACCAUCAAGCCCCCGGCUUGUGUUGGGGACCUGCGGCUGCCGCAGGCCCUGAAAAGCAGUGGCGGGCUCGCUGUCACACCGAGCGUAGUAGAUUUCAUCUCGCUCAGGGCGUGCUGCGGGUUCCGGCCGUUAAACCACCUUCAUAACCCAAGGUUGACCUCGGAUCAGGUAGGAAGACCCGCUGAACUUAAGCAUAUCAAUAAGCGGAGGA
Molecule: unclassified non-coding RNA, 336 nt
Filed under: soil metagenome
Description: partial contains 5.8S ribosomal RNA, internal transcribed spacer 2, and large subunit ribosomal RNA
Rfam family: 5.8S ribosomal RNA (bases 1-120)
Source: RNAcentral